This 301-nucleotide ribosomal RNA is filed under the name uncultured bacterium. RNAcentral's name for it is "partial 16S ribosomal RNA". It matches the Rfam family "Bacterial small subunit ribosomal RNA", at positions 509 to 807 of the family's 1533-position model. The record is from RNAcentral.
CAGUCGCCGCGGUAAUGCGAAGGGUGCAAGCGUUAAUCGGAAUUACUGGGCGUAAAGGGCGCGUAGGCGGACAGUUUAGUCGGGGGUGAAAGCCCGGGGCUCAACCUCGGAAUUGCCUUCGAUACUGGCUGUCUUGAGUGUGAGAGAGGUGUGAGGAACUCCGAGUGUAGAGGUGAAAUGCGUAGAUAUCGGAAGGAACACCUGUGGCGAAAGCGGCUCACUGGACCAUAACUGACGCCGAGGCGCGAAAGCUAGGGGAGCAAACAGGAUUAGAUACCCCAGUAGUCCCUGUCUCUUAUAC